Molecule: ribosomal RNA, 638 nt
Filed under: Neocondeellum dolichotarsum
Lineage: Eukaryota; Metazoa; Arthropoda; Protura; Acerentomata; Protentomidae
Description: eukaryotic LSU rRNA
Rfam family: Eukaryotic large subunit ribosomal RNA
Source: RNAcentral
AGUCUAACAUGUGCGCGAGUCACUGGGCGUAAAACCCCAAGGGCGCAGCGAAAGCGAAGGUCUGUUAUGCAGGCUGAGGGGAGAUCCGUUCCAUUGGUCUAAUGCCGUGGCGGCGCAUCCCCGGGGCGUUUGUGAUGCGGCUCGGCUUGCCGGGCUGCUGGCAGGCGCACCAAGAGCGCACAUGUUGGGACCCGAAAGAUGGUGACCUAUGCCCGGCCAGGACGAAGCCAGGGGAAACUCUGGUGGAGGUCCGCAGCGAUUCUGACGUGCAAAUCGAUCGUCUGAGCCGGGUAUAGGGGCGAAAGACUAAUCGAACCAUCUAGUAGCUGGUUCCCUCCGAAGUUUCCCUCAGGAUAGCUGGCGCUCGAGUGACGGAGUCUCAUCCGGUAAAGCGACUGAUUAGAGGCUUUGGGGUCGCAAUGACCUCGACCUAUUCUCAAACUUUAAAUGGGUGAGAAGCAGGGCAUUCCUAAAUGGCGAUGCCCUGUGUUCUGGAUCUAUGAGUGCCCAGUGGGCCAAUUUUGGUAAGCAGAACUGGCGCUGUGGGAUGAACCAAAAGCCAGGUUAAGGUGCCGGAGUUGACGCGCAUCAGAUACCACUAAAGGCGUCGGUGGCUAAAGACAGCAGGACGGUGGCCA